This 411-nucleotide ribosomal RNA is filed under the name uncultured microorganism. Its description in RNAcentral is "bacterial SSU rRNA". It matches the Rfam family "Bacterial small subunit ribosomal RNA", at positions 9 to 416 of the family's 1533-position model. The record is from RNAcentral.
GAGUUUGAUCCUGGCUCAGAUUGAACGCUGGCGGCAUGCCUUACACAUGCAAGUCGAACGGCAGCAUGAUCUAGCUUGCUAGAUUGAUGGCGAGUGGCGAACGGGUGAGUAAUACAUCGGAACGUGCCCUGUAGUGGGGGAUAACUAGUCGAAAGAUUAGCUAAUACCGCAUACGACCUGAGGGUGAAAGUGGGGGACCGCAAGGCCUCAUGCUAUAGGAGCGGCCGAUGUCUGAUUAGCUAGUUGGUGGGGUAAAGGCCCACCAAGGCGACGAUCAGUAGCUGGUCUGAGAGGACGAUCAACCACACUGGGACUGAGACACGGCCCAGACUCCUACGGGAGGCAGCAGUGGGGAAUUUUGGACAAUGGGCGAAAGCCUGAUCCAGCAAUGCCGCGUGUGUGAAGAAGGCC